UGGAAAAUGUCUCAUCUCAAAGAAGAACACUGCUCUGUUAGAGUAAGUGACUCCACUUCAGUUCCUUGAACGCCAGCUGCUGCGAGGGUUCGCUGUCACUAAGCCUCUACGUGCAUCCAUCCCAGAGGAGUUAAGUGGGACCACAUCAAUGCCGGGGAACUGGCUGUCUUCCAGAACUGCACUGUGGGUCAUUCUGUCUCGUGCUUUGAACCUUCCUCAUGGUCACAAGAUGACUGCCAGCAGUGGACACCAGGGCCACCUGUUUUCCUGUGUGUCCUAUGGAACCAUGGAAGCCACUAUGGAACCUCCUUUCCCAGAAAUCCUCAGCCAACAUAUCCUUGAAUUGAAUCUACACAGUUCUGACAUACACAUCAUAUGCAUGCAACAUGUCACUGUCCUCCUCCUUCUUCACUUAUCACCUCCACCGUCUCUUUGGUUAAAGUAGAUUAAAGGGAAUGAGGAUAAUGUAACUUAUCAAAGUGUGCCUGGAUGAGACUGCAGUGAAGAAUGUACUCUCAGUGACACAGGCUCCAGCUGCUUGUAAUUAAUCAGUCUCAAUUAAUUAAUCAAUUGAUGCUGAUUGAAGCUGCAUAAAGAGUUUAGUGAAGCUGUGUCCAAGCUCCAGCUUUGCUGUUUACUAAUGAGAUGGGUAGUCCCAGUCAA
Long non-coding RNA from Phyllostomus hastatus (greater spear-nosed bat), 663 nucleotides. RefSeq lists it as uncharacterized. The record is from RefSeq and is a predicted model, not a curated record. The transcript has 3 exons. Lineage: Eukaryota; Metazoa; Chordata; Mammalia; Chiroptera; Phyllostomidae.